RNAcentral lists this long non-coding RNA (1511 nucleotides) under Fukomys damarensis (Damara mole-rat). RNAcentral's name for it is "lncRNA (ENSFDAG00000022452.1)". Lineage: Eukaryota; Metazoa; Chordata; Mammalia; Rodentia; Bathyergidae. The record is from RNAcentral.
GCAAACAAUCUGGACGUCACACCAUUUGAAAGUUAAUAAAAACAUAGUAAGUGUCGCAAAAUUAUCAAAUCAACAUUUGAAACCAGAAUUGUCACUCCGAAUUAGUAACAUUUCGCACAGAAUGGAAAGGGAAGGUUUAUUUGUGUCUCUCCAGCUUGUCAGGAAAUCGAAUAAUUCACCUUUGAUGUAUUGCCAUAGGAGGAGGAAAGCUCCGGGAUCUACAGACUGACAAGUACUGCACAGGGGAACCCACUGCGUCAGGCGGCAUAAUGACGAGAGGGAUCGAAGGGGUAUGGCGUUGCUCAUGCUCCUACCUUCAGAAAAAGAAACGUCACUCGGCGGAGAUAUGCUGUAACCUCAAUGCAUUUAUGUGGAGAUUGGAGGGCAUUCAGAGGUCAUGAGAACCCAAGCAAAUGCGUUAAAAGCGUCUCAACACUCAAAUGCCCAAGGAAUUGGGGGGGGCAUUUUCAGGUUUUUUUGAUGAGUUUAUUUUAUCAUCCGGUGGUGAUUUUGGUACCAUUAGUUGGUAUUUGGCCAACAGAGAGAAAUUUCAUCCUAAUCUCAUUCUAUGGAAGAGUUCAGAGACCUGUUUUGGAAACUACAGGUAGUGCUAUGACAGUGGAGGCUAGUGAGGCAUCUAUAUUACAUUCUUGUUUAAAGGAAAGUUAUUCUCUAUGUCCUGAGUGAUAAGAGGCUGAUGAAAAAAAUGUUGAGAUUUAUUUGAUAAUCGUAGGACUUAAAUGGGUUGCCAGGUUGGUAACUUGGAAGAAUUUGCUCUUUAUGAUUUAGCUCAAGAAGACAUGCUUUCAAUGAAUGCUUUCAUGCUCUCAAAACAUCCUGUCAAAAGACCUCGCUGAAAUUAAUGGCUCAGAACUGAUGCUCAGCUUUCAAGGAUGCCGCGGUGAUUUAUUGAGUGGUGCCAGUCUCCGACUUCAUUGGGUGGAGAGCACUUGUCUUCAUGUAACAGGGCUAAUAUUACUUCAAGCUGUUGUCAGUUGACUUGGUAAAAUUGCUUAGAUACACUCCCCAUGUAGUUAGCUGGUGAUGAUUACCCUUAAGUAUUCACAGAGCAGAAUCCCUGGGGAAACACUAAUUAGCCACCCACAAGGAAGAUGUUCCAGCCACGGAAACAAUCUCCUGAAGUCUCCGGGCUGUAAUGAGGACCAAGCCCCAGUGACAAGUCCUGCUCUGUGUUGUGCCGCUGCAUCAAGGUUCAGCAAUUUUCAAGGAGAACAUGAUUGGAGUCAGGCCCAGGGCUGCACGGAAUCCACUAAUCACCGUUCAGAGACUUCGGGUCCCUGGAAUCCACAGGGGGGAAUUGGCUCUUAGAAUUAAAGGAGACACUGUUGUACGUUGUUGAGAAGUGGAGCAAUCUGUUUAAAUAUUUAUCUAUUUAGUGUAUAUUGGGUUACUUUUGGUCUUUGCAUAAUUGAUUCCUUGUUCUUUCUUCUGAUUAAUUUAAAAAAAAAAAAGAAAAACCGAUGAAUAAAAAACCUGUAUUUUCAAACCCA